UCUAGCAGAAUGAUUUGCAUGGAACACUUUUUUUUUUUUUACUUCAAGGGAAGAAAUAUAAACAAAUAUUUGACUUUCACAUCAAUUUGGAUUGAGGGUUUUUCCUAGAGCUUCAGCACUCAGAGUCUCAGUAAACUUGUCUACAGUCAAGCUUUGUUAAAGAUUAACUUUGUACUGCUACCGCAAUUCAUCAUGAACAUCUGUGAACACAUCUGGAAUAAUGGCAUGCACAAGAUAAACAUUUAAAAGGGAUACUCCUCAAACACAUCACUGUGUAAUACAGUCACCUUCUACAUACUAUUCACCCUACAACUUUACAGAACAGGAUGGUCCAAGAUGGAGCAGUGUGGGGAAAGUAAAGAGUGUCAUAUGGUUUUUACAAGACUGCACAGGACUCUGUAAGAGAUUUAUGGAUGAUAAGCCACCAGAAGAUGAGGAACCCCAUGUUACCCCAAACCUACAAAGGUUCAUCACUGCUAACUUAUGAAACAGGGCAUGGUUAUCUGCAUUUCCAACUUAUUCUGUCUACAUUUGUUUGCCAUCUAUUCUCUGACACAAGUCAAAGCUCCGUGCUACA
This is a long non-coding RNA of Myodes glareolus (Bank vole), 577 nucleotides long. RefSeq lists it as uncharacterized. The record is from RefSeq and is a predicted model, not a curated record. Lineage: Eukaryota; Metazoa; Chordata; Mammalia; Rodentia; Cricetidae.